AUGAAACUUGGUCCUAGGGAUGCCUGGUGGGAGAAAGUAGAAAAAUUGGAAGACUUGCUUGAGACCACAGCAAACCAAGUAGAGCAUGCUGCUGUGAUAUUGGACCACAAUCAUGAUCUGCAGGAUAGGCUUGACAAAUUAGAGGCCUCACUGCAAGCAGCAAAUAUUUCAAAGUUCUCUUGUUCUCUUGUUGAUAUUUUGCAGCAAAAAGUCAAAUUGGUAGAAGAACGCUUCCAAGCAUGUAAUUGUGAAAUGCAUUCUCAGAUUGAACUGUAUGAGCACUCAAUAGUGGAAUUUCACGAUACUCUUAGCAAACUAAUAGAGGAAAGUGAGAAAAGAUCACUGGAGAAUUUUACAGGAAACAUGCCUUCGGAACUAUGGAGCAAAAUUUCCCUUUUAACUGAUGGAUGGUUACUGGAGAAGAAAAUAUCUUACAAUGACGCAAGUAUGUUGCGAGAAAUGGUUCAUAAAAGGGACAGUCGUCUUCGGGAAGCAUACUUGUCAUACAGAGGUACCGAAAACAGGGAAGUUAUGGACAACUUACUUAAGAUGGCAUUACCAGGAACUAGUUCUGGUUUGCACAUUGCCCACAUAGCAGCAGAGAUGGCUCCUGUCGCGAAGGUUGGUGGCCUGGCAGAUGUGAUAUCUGGUCUCGGGAAGGCACUUCAGAAAAAAGGCCAUCUAGUAGAGAUCAUUCUUCCCAAAUACGACUGCAUGCAGGUUGACCAAGUUAGCAAUCUAAGGGUUUUAGAUGUUCUUGUGCAGUCCUACUUCGAAGGAAAUAUGUUCAACAACAAAAUUUGGACUGGGACUGUUGAAGGCCUACCCGUCUACUUUAUUGAGCCACAGCAUCCAGCGAUGUUCUUUUCGAGGGCUCAGUACUAUGGAGAGCAUGAUGACUUCAAACGUUUUUCGUACUUCAGCCGUGCGGCACUAGAAUUACUUUAUCAAUCUGGGAAGAAAGUUGAUAUAAUCCACUGCCAUGACUGGCAAACUGCAUUUGUUGCACCUCUUUAUUGGGAUGUAUAUGCAAAUCUAGGCUUCAACUCAGCUAGAAUUUGCUUCACCUGUCAUAAUUUUGAAUAUCAAGGAACUGCUCCAGCUCGUGAUUUAGCAUGGUGUGGCCUUGAUGUUGAGCACCUAGACAGACCAGACAGGAUGCGGGACAAUUCGCAUGGAAGAAUAAAUGCUGUUAAGGGAGCAGUUGUGUAUUCAAACAUCGUGACAACUGUCUCGCCAACGUAUGCACUAGAGGUUCGCUCAGAGGGUGGGCGUGGACUCCAAGAUACACUUAAAGUACAUUCCAGGAAAUUUCUUGGGAUACUUAAUGGAAUCGACACAGAUACAUGGAACCCUUCCACAGAUAGGUAUCUGAAGGUCCAGUAUAAUGCUAAGGAUCUCCAGGGAAAGGCAGCCAAUAAAGCAGCCCUCAGAGAGCAACUAAACCUGGCUUCUGCAUAUCCUUCACAACCACUGGUUGGUUGCAUUACCAGGCUAGUUGCUCAGAAGGGUGUACAUCUUAUCAGGCAUGCAAUCUACAAAACAGCUGAAUUAGGAGGACAGUUUGUCCUUCUGGGUUCAAGUCCAGUACCAGAAAUUCAGAGGGAGUUUGAAGGUAUUGCAGACCAUUUUCAGAACAACAACAAUAUCCGGCUGAUUUUGAAGUAUGAUGAUGCGCUGUCUCAUUGCAUAUAUGCUGCGUCUGACAUGUUCAUUGUUCCCUCUAUAUUUGAGCCAUGUGGCCUCACUCAGAUGAUAGCCAUGAGAUAUGGUUCUGUGCCGAUUGUUCGGAAAACUGGUGGGCUGAAUGACAGUGUCUUUGACUUCGACGACGAAACAAUACCCAUGGAGGUGCGGAACGGCUUUACAUUUGUCAAGGCCGACGAACAGGGCCUAAGCAGCGCGAUGGAGAGGGCGUUCAACUGCUACACGAGGAAGCCCGAGGUCUGGAAACAGCUCGUGCAGAAAGACAUGACGAUCGAUUUCAGCUGGGACACCUCGGCUUCGCAGUACGAGGACAUCUACCAGAAGGCGGUGGCUCGAGCGAGGGCGGUGGCGUGA
This 2061-nucleotide ribosomal RNA is filed under the name Triticum aestivum (bread wheat). RNAcentral's name for it is "partial small subunit ribosomal RNA". Lineage: Eukaryota; Viridiplantae; Streptophyta; Magnoliopsida; Poales; Poaceae. The record is from RNAcentral.